This 440-nucleotide long non-coding RNA is filed under the name Elaeis guineensis (African oil palm). RNAcentral describes it as "long non-coding RNA (EGUI_LNC057849)". The record is from RNAcentral. Lineage: Eukaryota; Viridiplantae; Streptophyta; Magnoliopsida; Arecales; Arecaceae.
CCAGGCCUUCAUGGAUGCCCAAAAUUUUUUACUCUUUCUCUCUUACAUGGAAUGUGGUUGUGGAUCAAGUCAAAGUAGGAAUUUAUUUGGAUUUCAAAUUCUAUGAGAUAGAAUUUUAGGAAACCAAAACUCUUUCCUUAUGGCACUGAUUUUACCUAGAUUUUUUUUGAAAUUUUUAUGGCUUUUAUGAAAUAUAUUGUGCACCCUUUUCUGGUGGUCCAUGGUAGAAAAAGGAGGUGAUGCCCAAGAGUUGGGCACCCCUUGUCUUGUCCUGUUUGGAUUUUCCUUGACUAGGUAUUUGACCUAGACAAGGACUCUUCAUAUCUCAUUAUUUAAGAUGAAUUUUUUAUUAAAAUUUUUAUGAAUUAUAAAGUAUUGAGAUAAAUUUAGGAUGUGUGAAGAUCAGAGAGAAAGAGUAUUGGGGUAUAGAGAUAUAAUAG